RNAcentral lists this ribosomal RNA (482 nucleotides) under uncultured bacterium. RNAcentral's name for it is "partial 16S ribosomal RNA". It matches the Rfam family "Bacterial small subunit ribosomal RNA", at positions 30 to 507 of the family's 1533-position model. The record is from RNAcentral.
AUUGAACGCUGGCGGCAUGCCUUACACAUGCAAGUCGAACGGUAACAGGUCUUCGGAUGCUGACGAGUGGCGAACGGGUGAGUAAUACAUCGGAACGUGCCCGAUCGUGGGGGAUAACGGAGCGAAAGCUUUGCUAAUACCGCAUACGAUCUACGGAUGAAAGCAGGGGACCGCAAGGCCUUGCGCGGACGGAGCGGCCGAUGGCAGAUUAGGUAGUUGGUGGGAUAAAAGCUUACCAAGCCGACGAUCUGUAGCUGGUCUGAGAGGACGACCAGCCACACUGGGACUGAGACACGGCCCAGACUCCUACGGGAGGCAGCAGUGGGGAAUUUUGGACAAUGGGCGAAAGCCUGAUCCAGCCAUGUCGCGUGCAGGAUGAAGGCCUUCGGGUUGUAAACUGCUUUUGUACGGAACGAAAAGACUCUUUCUAAUAAAGAGGGUCCAUGACGGUACCGUAAGAAUAAGCACCGGCUAACUACGUG